Molecule: ribosomal RNA, 300 nt
Filed under: Triticum aestivum (bread wheat)
Lineage: Eukaryota; Viridiplantae; Streptophyta; Magnoliopsida; Poales; Poaceae
Description: partial small subunit ribosomal RNA
Source: RNAcentral
AUGGAAGAUGGCAAGGGUUCUCAGAAGGAGAGGGGGAAGGAAACAACGGAGGACUUGCUAGCUCGCCUUACCCUACAGGAGGAAGAAGAUGAUGAUUUUGUCUGGGAGGAGGAGCUCCCCGAUUUGAUGGAGGCGGCAAAGUGGCUGGCGAUCGCGAGGGUUCACACCCCCAAAACCUUCAGCCCUAAUGCACUAUACGGCGACAUGGCAGCGGCAUGAAACCCCGCGAAACUGGUGGUGUGGAGGAGGAUAAAGGAGAACCUGUUUACGGCACAAUUUGGAUGCCUCGCUGAUUGGAAG